This 2927-nucleotide long non-coding RNA is filed under the name Cucumis sativus (cucumber). RNAcentral's name for it is "long non-coding RNA (CSAT_LNC000229)". The record is from RNAcentral. Lineage: Eukaryota; Viridiplantae; Streptophyta; Magnoliopsida; Cucurbitales; Cucurbitaceae.
UUGACUGUUAGGACGUUGAGAGAAAGAACUUUAUGUUUUGAAGUAACUGAAAGAUGGAUUGAAUGGAAUGAGGGGAUAAAUUGUUAGAUUGUAUUGGGAUGUUUACCUUGUAGGUGUCCCACGGGAUCACCAAUUUAUUUUGCACCUUCGGGAGCAUUUGACUGAUAUGUGUUUCUGCAGAACACUAGACUGAUAUGUACGUCCCUCGGGGCGUUAGACUGAUAUGUACGUCCCUCGGGGCGUUAGACUGAGAUGUGUAUCCUACGGGAUCACAAGACUGCGACUGUACAGGGUGUCCCAAUAGAACUUUAACAAUUUAUUUUCCCCUGACGAGACCAGUAGAGGGUCUCUUACUGAGUAUUAUUAUACUCACCCUUCUUAUGUUUAAUUUUCAGGCAAAGGAAAUAAAGGUGGCAAACCGGCGAGGGGCAGCAAGGAAGCGUGAUUGCCAUAGGGAAUGUGUUAUUUUGCUUCCGCUUAUGAUUUCUUUUAAGGUUUAAGAUGUACUAAAACUUAGUUUACAAACUUUUAUUUGUAAAUAGGGUUAUUGUUAAGUUUUCUUGAAUAUUUGAAAAUCAGGCCUUACAUAAAUUGUUUUUAAAUUGACUUAUGUUUCAAUUUGUAUCAACCAAAGUCUUUUGUCAAAAAUUAACGAUCUCGACUUACCCAGAAAAGUUGGGUCGUUACAACUAAUAUGUAAUGUUGAGAUCAACUGAAUAUGUUUGUAAUGUAGGGACUUUGAUGAAAGAAUUGAAUAUUCAGGAAAUUGUAUGAAAAAAAAUGGUUGAAUGUUAAAUUGACUUAUGAAUAGUGUAUAUGAAACAAUACAUUAUAUAUUUUAUGAAUGAAAUGUUAUGCAAUCAAUUUGUUAAACUGGUUUAUUUAUUUUAUUUCAAAUAUUUAUUUUAUAUGUAAUAAAUAAUAAGUUAUGUUUGAAACAACAGUAUAAGGAUAUAUCAUAAUAUAUAUUGUUCAUUUAAGGUUAGUAAAAAUUUAUAUUUUGUAUUUGAAAUAUACUAUGAUAUACUGAGUACAUCAAAGAUGACAUCAUUUAUGUACUAUUGAAAAUAUGAAGUAGUAUAUAUAUGUAACAAAUCACAUAAGAUAUAUGUAUCAUGUACUAGUAUAUACGUCAUUAUUUAUAUAUACACACCUAAUGAAAAAAAGUAGAGUGUGUGGGACCCACGUAUAUAAAUAAUGAGAAAAUAAAAAAUGUUGGCCCAAUGUAAUAUAUAUAUAAAGUAAAAAAUAAACUAUGUAGGGUCCACUGCAUGAAAAUUGUGUAGGGGUACAAAAAUUCACCUCAACUCACCUAUUUUUGUCAAUAGUUUUGCAUUCACCUACUUUUGACAUAUGUUUCAAAAUUUACAUUAUUUUUUAAAAAAAGUUCUAUACAUAAUAAAUAAUAACUCGUGAUUGAAACAAGAGUGGUUAUGUGUAAUGCCCCAAAGGUAUAUAUAUAUAUAUAUAUAUAUUUUGUUUUUUAUUUUUAUAUAUAUAUUUAUUUAUUUAUAUUUAAUUUAAAUAAAAAGGAAAAAGAAAAAAUAAAGAAAGAAAGGAGAAAAAAAAAGAAAAAAUCUCUCUUUCUCUCUCCCUCGCGCGCCGCGACCCCCCCCCCGUUCUCUUCUCUUUUCCUUUCUCUUUUCUCUUCUCCCUUCCGUUUUCUUCCCGUCACAGCCCAGCCGCAACCGCCGCCGAUCCUUUCUCUUCCGUUCUCUUCCCGCCGCAGCUCAGCCGCCCCAUCCGUUUCCUUCUCUCCGUUCGUCGCGUGAACAUGUAACCGCCGGCUGUCUUCCCCUCUCCUUUCUCCUCUGUUCUCUGCCCAGCACCGCGUGACCCUCCGCCCAGCGCCGUGUGACCCUCUGCCCACCGCCCCGCGCGACCUCUGUCUCCGCGCGUUACCGUUACUACGACCAGAUCUGCGUCGUCGUGCCCCGUCCUAAAUCGUCUUUGUCUCCGUCGAAGUUUUGUUGGUAAGAUUAAAGUUAUGAAAUUGUAGUCGUUUCCAAAACAAUUUAAGUAUGGGUUAUGAUGUUUUCAAGGUGUUCAAACGUUACGGAUGGGUUAAUUGACUAAUUUGAUAAAUUAUUCUUGAAGGUGUGAAAGGUAACUUUGGGUCACUUAAAUUCACAACCAAUUUGUGAAUUGUUAAGGGUUCAGUUCGCCAGUAUUUCGGUAAGUUGGGGAAUUUACAUAUGGAGUAAUUUGAAAGGUUGAAACUAUUUAGAACGAUGUUUGAUUUUAUGAAUUGAAUUAUGUUUAGGAUUUGAUUCAUUGGAUUUAGUAGAUUGAAGAAUUUGCAUAGAAAUCGAGGUAAGGGAUUUUCUACUGGACUCAAUUGUGAUUGUGAACUGUGAUUGUGAACUGUAUGUGUGUUGAAUGUAUACUGGGGUUGACUGAAAAUAUAUAUGAAUGUAUAUAAAUUGAAGUAGACUUGACGUCGAAUGUAUGUCGUGAUUGUCAUGGAAUCUAUAUAUAAAUGUGUGUAUGUGGACAGGACGGAGAUUGUAGAUUGUGUUUGUAUGAGAUUCUCGUUUAGAUUGGGUGUAUGAUUACGCUAAAGUAUGACUGUGUGCUGGUGAACUGAGGGGUGCAUUGACUGUAUAGUGGAUUGACUGAUGUAUUAGCAUAUUAUUGACAGACAUAUGACUGUAGUAAAAUAAGUUAACUGUUAGGAUGUUGAAAGAAAGAACUUUGUGACUUGAAGUAACUGAAAGAUGGGUUGAAUGGAAUGAGGGGAUAAAUUGUUAGAUUGUAUUGGGAUGUUUACCUUGUAGGUGUCCCACGGGAUCACCAAUUUAUUGUGCACCUUCGGGAGCAUUUGACUGAUAUGUGUUUCUGCAGAACACUAGACUGAUAUGUACGUCCCUCGGGGCGUUAGACUGAGAUGUGUAUUCUACGGGAUCACAAGACUGCGACUGUACAUG